AACGAACGCUGCGGCAUGCCUAACACAUGCAAGUCGAACGAGACCUUCGGGUCUAGUGGCGCACGGGUGCGUAACGCGUGGGAACCUGCCCUUAGGUUCGGAAUAACUCCCCGAAAGGGGUGCUAAUACCGGAUAAUGUCUUCGGACCAAAGAUUUAUCGCCUUUGGAUGGGCCCGCGUUGGAUUAGCUAGUUGGUAGGGUAAAAGCCUACCAAGGCGACGAUCCAUAGCUGGUCUGAGAGGAUGAUCAGCCACACUGGGACUGAGACACGGCCCAGACUCCUACGGGAGGCAGCAGUGGGGAAUAUUGGACAAUGGGCGAAAGCCUGAUCCAGCAAUGCCGCGUGAGUGAUGAAGGCCUUAGGGUUGUAAAGCCCUUUUACCCGGGAUGAUAAUGACAGUACCGGGAGAAUAAGCUCCGGCUAACUCCGU
Molecule: ribosomal RNA, 431 nt
Filed under: uncultured bacterium
Lineage: Bacteria
Description: partial 16S ribosomal RNA
Rfam family: Bacterial small subunit ribosomal RNA
Source: RNAcentral